CCUACGGGGGGCAGCAGUGAGGAAUAUUGGUCAAUGGGCGGGAGCCUGAACCAGCCAAGUCGCGUGAGGGAAGACGGUCCUAUGGAUUGUAAACCUCUUUAGGCGGGGAGCAAGGCCGGGCACGUGUGCCCGGAGGGAGAGGACCCGCAGAAGAAGCAGCGGCGAACUCCGUGCCAGCAGCCGCGGUAAUACGGAGGAUGCGAGCGUUCGCCGGAUUUAUUGGGUUUAAUGGGUGCGUAGGCGGCUUGAUAAGUUAGAGGUGAAAUGUCCGAGCUUAACUCGGGAACUGCCUCUCAUACUGUUGAUCUAGCGCGUAGCUGCGGUAGGCGGACUGUCUGGUGUAGCGGUGACAUGCUUAGAGCUCAUACAGAACACCGAUUGCGAAGGCAGCUUACCACUCUAUAUCUGACGUUGAGGCAC
This 420-nucleotide ribosomal RNA is filed under the name uncultured bacterium. RNAcentral describes it as "partial 16S ribosomal RNA". It matches the Rfam family "Bacterial small subunit ribosomal RNA", at positions 338 to 754 of the family's 1533-position model. The record is from RNAcentral.